Papaver somniferum (opium poppy) is the source of this 1186-nucleotide long non-coding RNA. RefSeq lists it as uncharacterized. The transcript is spliced from 2 exons. Lineage: Eukaryota; Viridiplantae; Streptophyta; Magnoliopsida; Ranunculales; Papaveraceae. The record is from RefSeq and is a predicted model, not a curated record.
UCAUGGUCGCACCCAUUCUCGGCGACAAAAUUAUGCACAGGCCCAUUAUUAAUGUUUUACGUUUUCUUUUUUUCUUUUUUUUUUCAGAUCUCUUUCUAUAAACAAGAGAAAUAAGAACGAGAACACCAUUAACAACAUCUUUCCUUAGAUAUCUUUCUGUCUAAUUCAAUCAAAAUCCUAGAAGGCAUAACCUAAAAUUCAAUUCAAUCUUUCUUUUUUUCCCUUAAAUUUAAUAAAACUCAUUUUAGAUCUGGAAAUUAUGAUUGAGAACUUGCUGAUAUGGUUCUUAUUGAAGCAGGAGAGAGUCUCAUCAAAUCAAACAAUGGUUCAAGCUGGUGGCGUCUUGCAUUAUCCGUGGUUCGGGAUUGAAAUGAAUCAAACCGGUGGUUGGUUUUGAAGGAUUAAGAAAGGGUUGGAUGUGAAUUAGAACUUAAGUCAAGGACUGGUGGGUGUAUCUCGGAUUUGAUCUACAACAGUGAAGAGAAAUAAGUGACUGAUAGUGUUUGUAUCUCAAGGGGAUUUGUUCUUGAGAGAAAUAAGACUUGAUUGAUGAGUUUUUUCACAUGGGUUUAUAUUAAAGUAUUGUUAGGUUCUUGUACUCGAUUUGGAGAUGAUUAAUGCUCUCGAUUGCUGAAAUAGGUGUUGGCUUAAUUGUUUCUGUUCAAUUGCACAAAAUGUACAAAUUCCAUCUUUUCUGGUUGAUGGGUGUACUGCAGAUCUUAGUUUAUGCAGAGAAUAUCAUCGAAGGCAUAAGGUUUGUGAGGCUCAUUCUAAGACUCUAAUCGUUUUGAUUAAUGGUCAAGAACAAAGAUUUUGGCAACAGUGCAACAGUGUCUCAGAGUAGGAUGUUGCAAAUCCAUUAUCCAUCCUGCUAAUUGAGAUUGUUACAAGGUCAUGCACGCUGGAACCGCGAGUAUCGUUAAUUGGAUUAAUAUUUAGUUCUACAAAAUGAGCACUGUAAUUGACAUUCUUGGGAUCAUGUCCUACAUGAUUACAUGGUUUGAACUGGGAAUAAAUUAGUGGUUCUAGACUUGUAGAUAGUGGGACUAGGAGAAUCAAAGUACUUUGUAAUUUUAGUUGUCGUUUUUCGUUGGUGUUGGUGUUAUUGGUUGGGAAGCUAGGUAUGUAUUUGGUCACAUUGGUGUUGACGUUAAUGGUUGAAUAAUCUGUGAUGUAGUUAUGAAAA